UACGUAGGGUGCGAGCGUUAAUCGGAAUUACUGGGCGUAAAGGGUGCGCAGGCGGUUCUGCAAGUCAGGCGUGAAAGCCCCGGGCUUAACCUGGGAAUGGCGCUUGAAACGACAGGACUGGAGUAUGGCAGAGGGAGGUGGAAUUCCACGUGUAGCGGUGAAAUGCGUAGAGAUGUGGAGGAACACCGAUGGCGAAGGCGGAUCUCUGGGCCAUUACUGACGCUGAGGAGCGAAAGCGUGGGGAGCGAACAGG
This 253-nucleotide ribosomal RNA is filed under the name uncultured bacterium. RNAcentral describes it as "partial 16S ribosomal RNA". It matches the Rfam family "Bacterial small subunit ribosomal RNA", at positions 524 to 776 of the family's 1533-position model. The record is from RNAcentral.